GACGAAGGUGGCGAGCGUUGUUCGGAAUCAUUGGGCUUAAAGCGCACGUAGGCGGGCCAUCAAGUGUCUUGUGAAAUCCCACGGCUCAACCGUGGAAUUGCUGGGCAUACUGAUGGUCUUGAGGCAGGUAAGGGCGAGUGGAACUCUUGGUGGAGCGGUGGAAUGCGUAGAUAUCAAGAGGAACGCCGGAGGUGAAGACGAUUCGCUGGGCCUGUCCUGACGCUGAGGUGCGAAAGCCAGGGGAG
RNAcentral lists this ribosomal RNA (245 nucleotides) under uncultured bacterium. RNAcentral's name for it is "partial 16S ribosomal RNA". It matches the Rfam family "Bacterial small subunit ribosomal RNA", at positions 524 to 768 of the family's 1533-position model. The record is from RNAcentral.